This 106-nucleotide small nuclear RNA is filed under the name Suricata suricatta (meerkat). The record is from RNAcentral. Lineage: Eukaryota; Metazoa; Chordata; Mammalia; Carnivora; Herpestidae.
GUGCUUGCUUCAGCAGCACAUAUAUUAAACCAGAAUGAUACAGAGAAGAUUAGCAUGGCCCCUGCACAAGGGUAACAUGCAAAUUUGUGAAGCAUUCCAUAUUACA